Molecule: RNA transcript, 764 nt
Organism: Octodon degus (degu)
Lineage: Eukaryota; Metazoa; Chordata; Mammalia; Rodentia; Octodontidae
Gene name: 14-3-3 protein epsilon pseudogene
Exons: 1
Source: RefSeq, a predicted model, not a curated record
AUGGAUGAUCGGGAGGAUCUGGUGUACCAGGCGAAGCUGGCCAAGCAGGCUGAGCGAUACGAUGAAAUGGUUGAAUCAAUGAAGAAAGUAGCAGGAAUGGAUGUGGAGCUGACAGUUGAAGAAAGAAACCUCCUAUCUGUUGCAUAUAAAAAUGUGAUUGGAGCUAGAAGAGCCUCCUGGAGAAUAAUUAGCAGCAUUGAACAGAAAGAAGAAAACAAGGGAGGAGAAGACCAACUAAAAAUGAUUCGAGAAUAUUGCAAAUGGUUGAGACUGAGCUAAAGUUAAUCUGUUGUGACAUUCUGGAUGUACUGGACAAACACCUCAUUCUAGCAGCUAACACUGGCGAGUCCAAGGUUUUCUAUUAUAAAAUGAAAGGGGACUAUCACAGGUAUCUGGCUGAAUUUGCCACAGGAAAUGAUAGGAAGGAGGCUUCAGAGAACAGCCUAGUGGCUUAUAAAGCUGGUAGUGAUAUUGCAAUGACAGAACUUCCACCAAUGCAUCCUAUUCGUGUAGGUCUUGCUCUCAACUUUUCUGUAUUCUACUAUGAAAUUCUUAAUUCCCUUGACAGUGCCUGCAGGUUGGCAAAAGCAGCUUUUGAUGAUACAACUGCAGAACUGGAUACACUGAGUGAAGAAAGCUAUAAGGACUCUACACUUAUGCAGUUGUUAUGUGAUAAUCUGACAUUAAUGACUUCAGACAUGCAGGAUGAUGGUGAAGAGCAGAAUAAAGAAGCGCUGCAGGAUGUGGAAGAUGAAAAUCAGUGA